AAGGUUACACUGUCUCCUUUUUCUAAUCAGUAAAACUAAUCUCCCCGUGAAGAAGCGGGGAUCCUUAUAUAAGACGAGAAGACCCUAUGGAGCUUUAAACGAAAUAACAUCUACCAACUCAACCAACAAUUUCAGAAAAUUAACACUAAACUUGGUAUAAUGAUUACUAGUUUUAGGUUGGGGUGACCGCGGAGCAAAAAACAACCUCCGCAUUGAAUGGACUUACACUCCUAAACAAAAAGCCACAACUUUAUGUAUCAAUAUAUUGACAUCCAUUGACCCAUUAAUUUGAUCAACGAACCAAGUUACCCUAGGGAUAACAGCGCAAUCCAUUUCAAGAGCCCCUAUCGACAAAUGG
RNAcentral lists this ribosomal RNA (358 nucleotides) under Odontophrynus juquinha. Its description in RNAcentral is "partial large subunit ribosomal RNA". It matches the Rfam family "Bacterial large subunit ribosomal RNA", at positions 2007 to 2515 of the family's 2925-position model. The record is from RNAcentral. Lineage: Eukaryota; Metazoa; Chordata; Amphibia; Anura; Alsodidae.